Molecule: transfer RNA, 61 nt
Filed under: Dipodomys ordii (Ord's kangaroo rat)
Lineage: Eukaryota; Metazoa; Chordata; Mammalia; Rodentia; Heteromyidae
Rfam family: tRNA
About the family: Transfer RNA (tRNA) molecules are approximately 80 nucleotides in length. Their secondary structure includes four short double-helical elements and three loops (D, anti-codon, and T loops). Further hydrogen bonds mediate the characteristic L-shaped molecular structure. tRNAs have two regions of fundamental functional importance: the anti-codon, which is responsible for specific mRNA codon recognition, and the 3' end, to which the tRNAs corresponding amino acid is attached (by aminoacyl-tRNA synthetases). tRNAs cope with the degeneracy of the genetic code in two manners: having more than one tRNA (with a specific anti-codon) for a particular amino acid; and 'wobble' base-pairing, i.e. permitting non-standard base-pairing at the 3rd anti-codon position.
Source: Rfam by way of RNAcentral
GGCGCUGUGGCUCAAGUGGUAGAGCACUAGCCUUGAACUCUAGAGUUGAGGGACAGCGCCU